UAUUUACAAGUGCCUGUACAGACCUGGCAAUAUGACGGUGAUUAUAAGAAUAAAAGGAAGUGAAAAGGAUGCGUUAUCCUCCCUGGAAUUAUCUGGUUUGAUUGCGCUUUUCUACUGCUUUUUCACGUUGAAAAUCAGCUAUACUGAACUUGUACGGGAACCAGAAUGGGAAGAUCCAGAUGACGACCUGCGGCGUCUGUAAGAUACAAACAGAGAAAACAUGCAAAGAAAUAAGUUCAAAUUAAUUGUAUCACUCACACCUACAAUAGUUAGAAGACUAAUUUAUUUGAUGGGGUUAUAUAUAAACUGAACAUAUAAAUAAUCUGAAACCUUCUGUUUAGGCUCACUAACGUAUUACACUUUUUAGUAUUAAAUUUACCACACUUCAUAUUAAAUUUACAA
Mauremys reevesii (Reeves's turtle) is the source of this 402-nucleotide long non-coding RNA. RefSeq lists it as uncharacterized. The transcript has 2 exons. NCBI's taxonomy places the organism in Eukaryota, Metazoa, Chordata, Testudines, Geoemydidae. The record is from RefSeq and is a predicted model, not a curated record.